UGCGAUUGUGCUUCUCCUUGUGGU
RNAcentral lists this non-coding RNA (24 nucleotides) under Arabidopsis thaliana (thale cress). Lineage: Eukaryota; Viridiplantae; Streptophyta; Magnoliopsida; Brassicales; Brassicaceae. The record is from RNAcentral.